RNA transcript from Ahaetulla prasina, 7569 nucleotides. It is a transcript of the gene named cilia and flagella associated protein 91, with no coding region annotated. The transcript is spliced from 19 exons. The record is from RefSeq and is a predicted model, not a curated record. NCBI's taxonomy places the organism in Eukaryota, Metazoa, Chordata, Lepidosauria, Squamata, Colubridae.
AUGAGGAAGUUUCUUAAUGCGGCGAUGCGUCUUUUGAUGGAGGACAACGAGGCAUUGAAAACUACUGAUCAACCUUUUUACGGCAGACUGUGUCUAAUGAUCCCCAAAGUAGCCGAGCCGCGAAUCAAUCAAUCAAUCAAUCAAUUUAUUUAUUUACUUGGAUUUAUAAAAUCCAAAUAAAUUUAUAAAUUCUUUUAGUUUUUUAGUUUUAAGAUUGUUAUUUCUUUUGAGCUAUGAUUUUUUCCUGUUUUUCUAUACUUUUUUCUUUCAUUCUCUGUCAACUAGGUUGGGUGGACUUUCGAACUAGUGUAUAGUUUCAAAUACUAGUUUCGUUGUUUUGCAUUCUUGAAAUAUAUGCUUUUGUUGAGGUAAUGCCCGUCAAGCUCUGCUAGGUGGCAGCAGAAUGUUAUAAGCAACGUCGAAUCUGAACAGAACAGAGAAGACAAUCCCAGGACAUAGGGCGUAAACAAAAAACAAAACGCGGAAGACGAUUUAAGUGGGCACGUCUGUAAAGUCACAAAAGUGGACUAAAAGCAAAUUCGUUUGUCUUCUAUGCGCAUAGAUGUUUUAUACAAAUGGCUCAUUAGACUGGAAUUUAUAGUACCAGGGGGCUUCUCUUCAGUUUUCCGGGUUGAGUUUUCGAGAGAAAUUCUCCCAGAAAUAUAUUCUUAAUGGAAAUGCUCCUUUCUUAACUCGCCCGAAUGUGAAAGAGGAGCCUUGUUGAUACCGACGCGUUGCUCCUUUUUUCUGGGCAAAGCGUCAAGAAAAGAAUCCAAGUUACUUAGCGGCGGAGCGAUUUGCACUCCAACCCCAACUCUAUAAUAUCGCUCCAGGAAGUGACAUGAGCCCUUUUAGUUCGGCUCUGUUGCUGUGGAAACGGUUGCUAUGUGAGCGGCGCCGACAACCUUCCGAAGCGGCGGCAGAGACCAAGGUGGCCGCAAGAUGAAUCAAUCGGUGACCGUUGUUCCGCCGCUGGACCAGACUGGGAUCCGGUAUCGCAGGAAGAUGGCUCCCAACCGGGCUUUUGAUUUCAUUUAUGAUCCAUUGUAUGAGCUAUCAAGUGCAAAAGAUCAUGCACAGGCAAAUGUCCAAGCUCAUCUUAUUCAUGAUGAAAUGAGGAAAGUACCAGAAUUUAAAGCCAUGUUUAGUAAUUUGGUUCACUAUCCAUCGUACUUUGUGCAAUUAGAAGAAAAAAAUCCUGUUCCUCCAUUCAUUGAUCGAAGAUGGAGAGGAAGGGCACAGCAACGCUUUGAGACUUUUCAGCAGCUUGUGGUAGCCCCACCUUCACUUCAGGUGCCUAGAAUUGAAUAUGAAGAUCCUGAAGUUAGUGGAAAGAAUCGCUGGAAAUAUUUUGAACGACCUUUCAUUCCAUUUGAUAAGCCAAUUCCAUUGAAUGUUGUUUAUGCAAUGUCAAAGCCAGAGCUACAGACUCAUCCAGCAAAAUCCAAAGACAAACCAGCCUAUCUCAUUUCACGAACCGUGGAAACACAAACAGAUUAUCGGGAUGGUGAAGCUCAGACAGACCCCUAUAGCCCUGAAUACAUAGUUCCUUCAGGUUCAAUACCUGAAUUGUUAACUCUCGCCACACUGACUUGGGGUCAUGGCCUUCCAGCAACUCAGGCAGAAGUGGAAGUAAUUGAACGAGCCCGGGAGAAACGAGCCUGGGAGGCCACUCUUCCACCACUGAAUGAUGCUGCACACAUUGCAAAACGGAGGAGAAUGAUGGAGGAAAUGGAGAGAAAAGAGUGGGCUUUUCGGGAGGAAGAAAUAGAAGAACUGCAAGAAGUGAGACUAAACCUUCUAAAGGCCUUGCUUAUGAAACGAGAAGAGAAGCACAAUGAAUUAAAUGUCAGUUGCUUAGAUGCACACUGGUUUAAACUUAUGCAAGAAAAAGAAAAGAAAGUGAAAAAGAUUCAACAUGAACACAUAAAAGCAAUCAGAAGAUUAAUAGCCAAGGGGAAAAAUGUAGAGGGAAAACUAGAGAGAAGAAAUGUAAUUAAGGACUACACUGAAUAUGAAUCACAGCCUUAUGCUCCAUUAUCAAGAAUUGGCUACUUUCCAGAUAAUCAUGCAGAUCGUUACGUAGUGAAGAAUUCCUUUCUCAACACCUAUGAAGGAUUACUUGAACUAGAAGCAUUUCUUCCUGAUUCCGUUACACAGCCCCGAACUGAAGCUCCAAAACCCAGAAGCUUAACCACAAAAGAUGGAUUCACUAAGCGGUCUGCUAGACUAGAGAUGGAAUUAGCACAGGUUUACCAGAUACUGCAAGACAGGAAAUGCCAUAUUAAAGAACCACGCAAGCCACUACGUUUUCUUCAGAGGUUAUCAAAGAUUUUGGCUCACCCACCCACUCCAGAAUUGGAAAUACCUUCACUAAUAGAUGAAGAGAGAGAAUUGGCUAUAAUUAUACUACAGAAAUUAAUACGAGGCAGAGCUAUCCAAAACAUGAUGUUUGAAGGAAAGGAAAAGCGUCUAGAAUUGAUUUGUGAGUUACGCACCACACAUGCACUUCAGGAAGAUGGACAGUUGUUGAAGAAGGCUGAAAAACAAGUGACUUUAGCCUUACAACGGCAGCGGGAUUUGCAUGAACAUAAGAUGUCUCUCAUGGAAAAGCAUUUGGCUCGUGUAGAAGGAAGAGUCCUUGCAAAUAUGUUGGAUUUCCUCUCUAAAGAAUUGAUUCGACUACAGGAUGAGCGGAGAAUCCAUGCUUUUGCUAUGUUAGCAGAAAGGCAGCGCCGAAUGCGGGAAGCAGAGGAAAGUGGACGUCGACAGGUGGAAGAGAGACGCAGACGUGAAGAGGAUGAGAUCUUUAGACAGGUUGUUAAAGUACACCAAAAAACAGUUGAUUCAUAUCUAGAAGAUGUUAUCUUGAACAGCAUGGAGAGUACAGCUGAAGAACAAUCUAGAGAAGAGAUUCAGAGAAUGGCUGUAGAAAUCAAUAAUAUUGCCUAUGAAAUGGAAACACGUCAGGGUAAUCUACAGUCUGAAGAGAUUGUGGCAGAACUAGUUUAUAGCUUCCUGAUCCCUGAAGUGAGAAAAAUGACCAUUAAGGAGAAAGUGAGGCAGGCUCAGAGAAAGCAUAUUCAUGCCGCUCAUCAGAUUAUCCAUGGAAACACAGAGACAACAGUAGAGCAGCUCUUUUCCCCAGGGUUUCAACAGGCAACCAGUGUAGAUAUUCCUCAGAUCGGAUUGCUUUCUGCUACACCUACUGGUCAAGAUGUUGCUAAGCAGCAGGAAAUCAAGCCACCAGACAGUCAAAGCCAGGAAGAUAAAAUGUACGAAGUCAGCCCUUUCAUUGAAUCUGCCAGGCCUCCUGAACAAUGAAGCAGAAAUAUGGCCUUUCUUUCCUACUUUCCUCUUCUCAGUCCAGCCUACCAAGUGAGAAGAUAACAAGGAUAGACAGCAAACACUAAUGAUGUCAACUGCCUUGAUGGAAAAUGGCAAGGAGAGGCUGGAGCCCCCAGAUGUUGAAUGCAGAGGUAGAAAAACUCUUUUUCCAACACUAAUGAUCACACUGGAUUAACAUCAUGACUAGAAGAGCUGGAUCAUAAAAGAAAUUCCCCCUUCACCAGGGCCAGGCUCAUUUUGUUUCAGUUGUUCCUGGGAAAAUAUAACAGUGACAAAUAGACUACUAACCACUGCAAAAAGGAGUUGGUAAAGUAUUAAAAGGUACAGCUGGACUUCAUAGGAGUAAAGUAAUUUUACUUUGUUAAUAUUUGGAUUUAAUUUUAUAAAUAUAUAUAUAAUUUUAAAUUUGUUUGUGUGUGUGUGUAUGCUUUAUAUAUUCCAAUUCAAUAUAUUAAAAUUGAAUCUUCCAUCUUCCCAAAUCAGAUAGUUACGAUAAGUAUUGUAACAGUGUUACAAUAAGUCUCUCUGUGUUACAGGACCUGGUCUUCCUUGUUAACAUUUUUAAACUCAAAAGUCAUCUUCUUUACAACCUUCAAGAUUAGGUUCACCAGACACUCCAAUACAGUCCGUAAUUCAACUUACCCUAUCAUUUCCCAAACAUAUCAACAAUUUUGCAUUAUCACCAUAUAAAAAGCUCUAUUGUAUUUUAUGCAUAUUUUCCACCUCCAAGCUGUAUAAUCUUGAAUGCUUAGUGGAUAUAAGCAUAUCAGGUGAUGUGCAUUUGUGUAAUGAGGGAUCCUCUUAAGGAGAUCAACACUUUUAAGGUGUGCAUAAUCAUUAGGCAGCUUCUUUUCCUCAGGCAAAAUGGGCCAAAAGAGAGAUUUAACUGAAAAGUCAAAAAUGGAAUAAAGGGAUGUAGCACUCUUGAAAUUGCUAAGAUAUUGGGGCGUGAUCACAGAACCAUCAAACAGUUUGUUGCAAAUAGUCAACAGGGUCACAAGAAAUAUGUUGAGAAAAAAGACACACCUUAACUGCCAAAGAUUUGAGAAGAAUCAAAUAUGAAGCUACCAGGAACCCAUCAUUCUCCAGUGCUGUCAUAUUCCAUAACUGCAACCUACCUGGCAUGCCCAGAAGUACAAGGUGUUCAGUGCUCAGAGACAUGGCCAAGGUAAGGAAGGCUGAAACCAACCACCACUGAAUAGGACACAUAAAUUGAAAUGGCAAGAUUGGGCCAAGGAAUAUUUGAAGACAGAUUUUUCAAAGGUUUUAUGGUCUGAUGAGAUGAGAGUGACUCUUGAUGGAUCAGAUGGAUGGGCCCAUGGCUGUAUCAGUAGCAGGUACAGAGCUCCACUUCAACUCAGACACCAGCUAGGUGGAGGUGGGAUACUGGUAUGGGCUGGUAUUAUUAAAGAUGAGUUAGUUGGACCUUUUUGGGUUGAAGAUGGACUCAAAAUCAACUCCCAAACCUACUGCCAGUUUUUAGAAGUCACUUUUUUCAAGCAGUGGUACAGGAAAAAGUCUGCAUCUUUCAAGAAGACCAUUAUUUUUAUGCAGGACAUGCACUGCUCCAUCACAUGCAUUGAAGUACUCUGCUGCGUGGCUAGCCAGUAAGGGCCUUAAAGAUGACAGAAUAAUGACCUGUCUCCCUUCUUCACCUGACCUGGCCCCCUUCUUCACCUCUAUUGACAAUUUGUGGGCUCUUCUUAAACGAGAGAUUUAUGGUGAAGGAAAAGAGUACACAUCUCUGAAUAGUGCCUGGGAGGCUGUGCUUGCUGCUGCACAAGAAAUUGAUCGGCAACAGAUUAAGAAAUUGACAGACUCCAUGAAUGGAAGAUCUAUGACUGUUAUUAAAAAGAAUGGUGGCUAUAUUGGUCACUGAUUUUUUUUUUGAAAUGUCAGAAAUGUUUAUUUGUACAUUUAAAUUGUUUGUUUAUUAUUCUCACUUUAACAGAUGCAAAUAAAUGAGUGAGAUGGGCAAUUUUUCAUUUUUCAUUUAUUUGCAUUCUAAUUCUGCACACUAAUAGUUGCCCAAUAAUUGUACAACAUAAAUAUUCUCCUAAGAAAUCCAAAACCUCACUUUUACUUUCUUAAAUAUUCAGGUUUGAGGUUUAUUAACAUUUUGGAUUGACCAAGAGCACUGUACUUGUUCAAUAAUAAAAUUAAUCCUCCAAAAUACAAUUUGCCUAAUAAUUGUGCACACAGUGUAUGUAUGAGUUAAGAACAUUCGUUUCUUUUCCUUUCUUUUCCAAACACUAAAAAUCAAUUAAUAAAAGGUGCAUAAAUGUGUUUCAGUUCAGACUGGCUGUGAUGUUGUGCCUUAGACUUCUGAUUUCUCAAAAUAAUCUAAUGGUUAUAUUAAAAAAGAUUUAUCAUUUUAAGAUCUCAGGUGCAGACAAUGAGGUAAUUAGUAUCAUCAUCAAGAUCCAUUCUAAUAUAAAACAAGUAAUAAAAUUUAAACUUCUUUUUUCCUAAAAGUCAGUAAGAAAGAGACUCAAACUGACAAAUGUUAGAUCACUGGCAGGAUCCUUUUCGGGUUCAGAAAUAUUGCUUCCAAACUGUUAGAUGAACAAAAUAAGCUCUUCUAUUAAUGUGCCAUCUGUUCCUUUCAGCAGACUACACAUCAUAGAGCUUGACUGAGGUCCAGCAACGCUACUGUCUACAUUGAUCAUUGAAAUAGAAAUAAAAUGAGCAAGAAUGAACUUUCACAGCUAGUGAUCAAAUGGCUACAGUGUUUGUUCACCUAGUUGAUUGUUCUCAUAUCAUCCUAUAGCUUCAAAAAUCUUUACACUAUAUCAGAGAUGGGUUUCAGCAGGUUCUGACCAGUUCUGGAGAACCGGUAGCAGAAAUUUUGAGUAGUUCGGAGAACUGGUAGUAAAAAUUCUGACUGGCCCCGCCCCCAUCUAUUCUCUGCCUCCCGAGUCCCAGCUGAUCAGGAGGGAGUGGGGAUUUUGCAGUAACUUUCCCUUGGAGUGGGGUAGGAAUGGAGAUUUACAGUAUCCUUUUCCUACCACACCCACCACGUCACACUCACCAAGCCACACCCACAGAACCGGCAGUAAAAAAAUUUGAAAUCCAUCACUGCACCAUAUCCCUUCUCUGCAAAUAAACUUUGUUACAAUUGCAAGGUGUACUCUAGCUGCAAAUACGAGUCUAUAAUUGGAGCAAAAGCUUCUGUGAAACUGCAAUCUUCACCUGGCCUGCUUUUUCAACAAGAGAGAAACAAACUUCAAAAUGAUUAGUUUCUCAUUCUUGUAAAAAAGAACUGUCUGAUUUAACUGUUAUAUGGAAAAAGAGAACUCUGUAUUAUGCUUUUGACUGGAAAUAAAACUAGUAAGUUGCAUGGACAUGUGAAUAGUGUGUUUUUUUUAUUGUUCAACUGUAAAUUUUUGUAAACCUUUAGGCCAUAACUUUAUUUUAAAAUACAUGUUUAGCCUCUGAGGAGUGUAGGAAAUGUGGCUGAAAUCUUCAAUGGUUUUACUUUUUAGGAAGACUUUGGGAACAUUAAGGAACAAAAAUGGGCUUAAAAUUGUAACUUUAUUAUUUUUGCAAAAUUUCAAUGAAAACUUCAAAUAGCACUGAAGUGGAUUUUCAAAAACCAAGAUAGAAGUGGAGUGUGAUCACAAUCUGUGGCCUGGCCAUCUCCAUUCCAUUCCAUUUUGAUUGCCACUUAGUAAAUUUUAGCUUCGUUUAUUUGGAGGCCAGAAAUUGUGCCUUCUGGUUCCCUUCCACCCAUUCCCCCGCCCCCAAACUGUGCUAUCUCAGUAAAAAUUUCUUUCUUGCUGUUACUCCAUUUCAGUCACAAUCUGUUUGGCACUCUUUUCACACAGAAGAAGCAAUGCUGUUCAAAAAAGACCUACUCUAAAAGCUUUUUUAAAAUCACUUAAGCAAAAGGUAUUUUCUAUGCAGAAGAAUUCUAUUUCCCUCUUCUUCAAUGUGUAUGCCAGCAUAACCAUCCCAAAUUGCCAUUGAUAAUUCUCAUAAAGUCUUCAAAAUAACUUGUGUAGAAAUAUGGAGAAUUGCAGAUGAGAAGAAAAAUCUGCAUGUUUCAGUCAUAUCAACAAAAUUAUUACUCUGAAUAUAGAUUAAAUAAUUAGAUUAGCAAUUUGUAGGACUAUUACAUGAUACAGAGUGAUGGUUCCGUUUAUUACUUGUGAAAAUAAACAUACAGACCUCAGUGUUGAAUAUACCCCGCUACAUAUACACACACAACCAUUUCAAAAA